UGAACGCUGGCGGCGUGCCUAAUACAUGCACGUCGAGCGAACAGAUGAGGAGCUUGCUCCUCUGACGUUAGCGGCGGACGGGUGAGUAACACGUGGAUAACCUACCUAUAAGACUGGGAUAACUUCGGGAAACCGGAGCUAAUACCGGAUAAUAUAUUGAACCGCAUGGUUCAAUAGUGAAAGACGGUUUUGCUGUCACUUAUAGAUGGAUCCGCGCCGCAUUAGCUAGUUGGUAAGGUAACGGCUUACCAAGGCGACGAUGCGUAGCCGACCUGAGAGGGUGAUCGGCCACACUGGAACUGAGACACGGUCCAGACUCCUACGGGAGGCAGCAGUAGGGAAUCUUCCGCAAUGGGCGAAAGCCUGACGGAGCAACACCGCGUGAGUGAUGAAGGUCUUCGGAUCGUAAAACUCUGUUAUUAGGGAAGAACAAAUGUGUAAGUAACUAUGCACGUCUUGACGGUACCUAAUCAGAAAGCCACGGCUAACUACGUG
RNAcentral lists this ribosomal RNA (495 nucleotides) under uncultured bacterium. RNAcentral's name for it is "partial 16S ribosomal RNA". It matches the Rfam family "Bacterial small subunit ribosomal RNA", at positions 30 to 507 of the family's 1533-position model. The record is from RNAcentral.